This 492-nucleotide ribosomal RNA is filed under the name uncultured bacterium. RNAcentral describes it as "partial 16S ribosomal RNA". It matches the Rfam family "Bacterial small subunit ribosomal RNA", at positions 29 to 507 of the family's 1533-position model. The record is from RNAcentral.
AGUGAACGCUGGCGGUAGGCCUAACACAUGCAAGUCGAACGGCAGCACAGUAAGAGCUUGCUCUUACGGGUGGCGAGUGGCGGACGGGUGAGGAAUACAUCGGAAUCUACUUUUUCGUGGGGGAUAACGUAGGGAAACUUACGCUAAUACCGCAUACGACCUACGGGUGAAAGCAGGGGAUCUUCGGACCUUGCGCGAUUGAAUGAGCCGAUGUCGGAUUAGCUAGUUGGCGGGGUAAAGGCCCACCAAGGCGACGAUCCGUAGCUGGUCUGAGAGGAUGAUCAGCCACACUGGAACUGAGACACGGCCCAGACUCCUACGGGAGGCAGCAGUGGGGAAUAUUGGACAAUGGGCGAAAGCCUGAUCCAGCAAUACCGCGUGUGUGAAGAAGGCCUUCGGGUUGUAAAGCCCUUUUGUUGGGAAAGAAAAGCAGCAGGUUAAUACCCCGCUGUUCUGACGGUACCCAAAGAAUAAGCACCGGCUAACUUCGUG